This is a non-coding RNA of Monodelphis domestica (gray short-tailed opossum), 2328 nucleotides long. The record is from RefSeq and is a predicted model, not a curated record. Lineage: Eukaryota; Metazoa; Chordata; Mammalia; Didelphimorphia; Didelphidae.
ACCUAGGGCCAUCUUUCUGAAGUAUUCUCUUGGCAAUAGUGAAUGGCUUCUGAAUCACUGAAUGCCACACACUGCAAAGGACUCACAAGUUCCCCCACCCAAUGGGCAAUAGAGAAAAAGCCAGGAAGUGAGAGUGGUUAAAGUGGAGGAGUCCAGCUGCCAAGGUGCUGCCCAAACCAGAUGCAAAUGUCCCUUGGGAAGGGUUCACAAACUAAAUCCCAAUACGACAUAGCAUCCAUUGGGGGUUCUUGGGGUCAACGUGCCACCCACUGCUGGGCUACAGCAUGGUACCAGUGCAGAAUUAUGUGCCACGGGGUGCAGAAACAAUGCCAUCAGGGAGAUGGAGAGCUAGAAAAAAAAGGAGGGAGGUGGCUCAUGAACAAGAAAGGUUGGAAAUUCUCUUUUUUUUUUUUGAGUGUCUAUAAGAUUCUCUUUCAAUCCGAUUAACCAAAUAAAUUUUGAGCACAUACUGUGUACAGAACACUCAGUCACUUACCAGCUGUGUGACCCUGGGUAAGUCACUUCACCCUGUUUCCCUCAGUUUCCUCAUCUGUAAAGAGAGCCGGAGAAAGACCCGGCAACUAGCUCCAGUACCUCUGCCAAGAAAACCUGAAAUGGGGUCACAAAGAGUCAGACACCAUGGAUGGCAUGUACCAAACAUUGUGCCUUUUUCCUGGUGUACACACAAAGAAAAGUAAGCCUACAAAGCAAUUUGACUGGGGAGAAAACACUACAAGGCAGGAGACCAAGGAAGGCUUCAGGGAAGAAGCUGCCCUUGAAGAAAGAGCAGGAUUCCAAGAGAGGUGGGAGGACUGGGAGGAGCCAGGAAGGAAAUUUGACCAGAAGGAAAGACUGGGGAGUCAAACCCUCAGAGAGCACAUUAACAACAAAGUUACUUGGUUUCUUCACUAGAUAUGAAAAGAAGAACCUGCUGAUGCAUAGCCUGUUGUUUAGAAUGAGCCUUUUCUAAAAGCAGAACAAAAGGCUCACUCCUUCCUUCCUUCCUUCCUUCCUUCCUUCCUUCCUUCCUUCCUUCCUUCCUUCCUUCCUUCCUUCCUUCCUUCGAAUGGGCUUUUGGAGCAGCAUUUGGAGGAAGCUUUUCUAACCACAGGUCUGGGUUGAAUGAAGGAAGGUUUUCCUGGUCUUCACUGUGAAGCUAAUGGACAAAGGUGUUUUGCAAGCCUUGUAGAAACGUUGGCCGUAUAGAUGGAGAGCUACAAAAGCCAACCAGAGCAAUUGGACAAGAAAAAUCAGUGCCAGGAGUCAGAUGCCUUCAGAGGGAGAGGUACCCACCUCCGAAGCCCAUUGCCUCAGUAAACGCCAAAUUGGCACCAUCUAUCCUCUAUCCUCUUUUGCUUUGUUUGCUUCAACGUUCCCAGUGAGGUCAAACAGACCGAAAGAGAAAGACGCUGUUGGAGGAGGCCGGGCGGUGGCUUAAGCGUUUUCUUGGAGGGCAGACCAAGGAAGAAGAGGUAGAAGCAGUGAGAGGGUUAAUUCUGGCUCCUUGACUGCCCCAGGAGCUCCUUGCCCUCACUGGACGACUCCAAGCAGAAGUGGACACAUGGGAGCCCAGGAGGCCCCGAGCUGUUCACACAUUGAUUGGGAAAAUCUCUUCACGGAAUCCCCGAGCCCCAAGGGACCUCAGCUGGAGUGUUGGGGCCAGAGUAAUUCUGCCUCAGAAUGGCGGGGGUCUCGGGAGCGGAACCCAGGCCUCCUGGGAGGUGGGGGGGCCUUCCCAAGAGUCCUCUGGCCUACUGAGUACCACUUCUUCCCCCUGAGCUUGCCCCUCCACCCCCCAGUUUUUCAGACUGGCUGCCAUUUUACCAGGCCUCACGGAUCCAUCCAGAAUCCACCUCUUCAAUCUCAGUGCCCGACUUUCUAUUUCUUCCUGUGGGCCUCGCCCUCCUCUCCCUUCCUCCUCACUUUGACCAAGGCUGUUGGCCUCCUCAAGGGAGCUCCUCUCUGAGGAGGGAGUUCAGGGGACCCCUGACUAGAGGCCAUCUAGGUCUAGAUCCUCCAGAGAAGGAACAGCCCUCACCUGCCCACCCGCUCCUUGAGUUCCACUCCCUCCUCAGAACCCAGCUUUGGGGGAGCUGCUUAGAAGGGCCCCCAUGUUCCCUCCCCCCCAACCACAGCCCCAAGGUGUGAAGACAACAGCAGCUCAAAGCAGCCCCCAGCCUUCCUGCCUGGAGGAGGCCAGGGGUGUGGAAAGGAUACAGGUGCUCCUCUGCUCUUCACACCUCUGCCACAGGCCCGCCUGGAGCUGCUUCCUUCUGAGUAAUUUCCUUCCCUCCUGACCCCAGCCCAGCCUGCCUCUCUUCAGAGUCU